GGUUAAGCGACUAAGCGUACACGGUGGAUGCCCUGGCAGUCAGAGGCGAUGAAGGACGUGCUAAUCUGCGAUAAGCGUCGGUGAGGUGAUAUGAACCGUUAUAACCGGCGAUUUCCGAAUGGGGGAAACCCAGUGUGUUUCGACACACUAUCAUUAACUGAAUCCAUAGGUUAAUGAGGCGAACCGGGGGAACUGAAACAUCUAAGUACCCCGAGGAAAAGAAAUCAACCGAGAUUCCCCCAGUAGCGGCGAGCGAACGGGGAGGAGCCCAGAGCCUGAAUCAGUGUGUGUGUUAGUGGAAGCGUCUGGAAAGGCGUGCGAUACAGGGUGACAGCCCCGUACACAAAAAUGCACAUAUUGUGAGCUCGAUGAGUAGGGCGGGACACGUGGUAUCCUGUCUGAAUAUGGGGGGACCAUCCUCCAAGGCUAAAUACUCCUGACUGACCGAUAGUGAACCAGUACCGUGAGGGAAAGGCGAAAAGAACCCCGGCGAGGGGAGUGAAAAAGAACCUGAAACCGUGUACGUACAAGCAGUGGGAGCCUCUUUAUGGGGUGACUGCGUACCUUUUGUAUAAUGGGUCAGCGACUUAUAUUCUGUAGCAAGGUUAACCGAAUAGGGGAGCCGAAGGGAAACCGAGUCUUAACUGGGCGUUAAGUUGCAGGGUAUAGACCCGAAACCCGGUGAUCUAGCCAUGGGCAGGUUGAAGGUUGGGUAACACUAACUGGAGGACCGAACCGACUAAUGUUGAAAAAUUAGCGGAUGACUUGUGGCUGGGGGUGAAAGGCCAAUCAAACCGGGAGAUAGCUGGUUCUCCCCGAAAGCUAUUUAGGUAGCGCCUCGUGAAUUCAUCUCCGGGGGUAGAGCACUGUUUCGGCAAGGGGGUCAUCCCGACUUACCAACCCGAUGCAAACUGCGAAUACCGGAGAAUGUUAUCACGGGAGACACACGGCGGGUGCUAACGUCCGUCGUGAAGAGGGAAACAACCCAGACCGCCAGCUAAGGUCCCAAAGUCAUGGUUAAGUGGGAAACGAUGUGGGAAGGCCCAGACAGCCAGGAUGUUGGCUUAGAAGCAGCCAUCAUUUAAAGAAAGCGUAAUAGCUCACUGGUCGAGUCGGCCUGCGCGGAAGAUGUAACGGGGCUAAACCAUGCACCGAAGCUGCGGCAGCGACACUAUGUGUUGUUGGGUAGGGGAGCGUUCUGUAAGCCUGUGAAGGUGGCCUGUGAGGGUUGCUGGAGGUAUCAGAAGUGCGAAUGCUGACAUAAGUAACGAUAAAGCGGGUGAAAAGCCCGCUCGCCGGAAGACCAAGGGUUCCUGUCCAACGUUAAUCGGGGCAGGGUGAGUCGACCCCUAAGGCGAGGCCGAAAGGCGUAGUCGAUGGGAAACAGGUUAAUAUUCCUGUACUUGGUGUUACUGCGAAGGGGGGACGGAGAAGGCUAUGUUGGCCGGGCGACGGUUGUCCCGGUUUAAGCGUGUAGGCUGGUUUUCCAGGCAAAUCCGGAAAACCAAGGCUGAGGCGUGAUGACGAGGCACUACGGUGCUGAAGCGACAAAUGCCCUGCUUCCAGGAAAAGCCUCUAAGCAUCAGGUAACAUCAAAUCGUACCCCAAACCGACACAGGUGGUCAGGUAGAGAAUACCAAGGCGCUUGAGAGAACUCGGGUGAAGGAACUAGGCAAAAUGGUGCCGUAACUUCGGGAGAAGGCACGCUGAUAUGUAGGUGAAGCGACUUGCUCGUGGAGCUGAAAUCAGUCGAAGAUACCAGCUGGCUGCAACUGUUUAUUAAAAACACAGCACUGUGCAAACACGAAAGUGGACGUAUACGGUGUGACGCCUGCCCGGUGCCGGAAGGUUAAUUGAUGGGGUUAGCGGUAACGCGAAGCUCUUGAUCGAAGCCCCGGUAAACGGCGGCCGUAACUAUAACGGUCCUAAGGUAGCGAAAUUCCUUGUCGGGUAAGUUCCGACCUGCACGAAUGGCGUAAUGAUGGCCAGGCUGUCUCCACCCGAGACUCAGUGAAAUUGAACUCGCUGUGAAGAUGCAGUGUACCCGCGGCAAGACGGAAAGACCCCGUGAACCUUUACUAUAGCUUGACACUGAACAUUGAGCCUUGAUGUGUAGGAUAGGUGGGAGGCUUUGAAGUGUGGACGCCAGUCUGCAUGGAGCCGACCUUGAAAUACCACCCUUUAAUGUUUGAUGUUCUAACGUUGGCCCGUAAUCCGGGUUGCGGACAGUGUCUGGUGGGUAGUUUGACUGGGGCGGUCUCCUCCUAAAGAGUAACGGAGGAGCACGAAGGUUGGCUAAUCCUGGUCGGACAUCAGGAGGUUAGUGCAAUGGCAUAAGCCAGCUUGACUGCGAGCGUGACGGCGCGAGCAGGUGCGAAAGCAGGUCAUAGUGAUCCGGUGGUUCUGAAUGGAAGGGCCAUCGCUCAACGGAUAAAAGGUACUCCGGGGAUAACAGGCUGAUACCGCCCAAGAGUUCAUAUCGACGGCGGUGUUUGGCACCUCGAUGUCGGCUCAUCACAUCCUGGGGCUGAAGUAGGUCCCAAGGGUAUGGCUGUUCGCCAUUUAAAGUGGUACGCGAGCUGGGUUUAGAACGUCGUGAGACAGUUCGGUCCCUAUCUGCCGUGGGCGCUGGAGAACUGAGGGGGGCUGCUCCUAGUACGAGAGGACCGGAGUGGACGCAUCACUGGUGUUCGGGUUGUCAUGCCAAUGGCACUGCCCGGUAGCUAAAUGCGGAAGAGAUAAGUGCUGAAAGCAUCUAAGCACGAAACUUGCCCCGAGAUGAGUUCUCCCUGAGACUUAGAGUCUCCUGAAGGAACGUUGAAGACGACGACGUUGAUAGGCCGGGUGUGUAAGCGCAGCGAUGCGUUGAGCUAACCGGUACUAAUGAACCGUGAGGCUUAACCUU
This 2905-nucleotide ribosomal RNA is filed under the name Escherichia coli. Its description in RNAcentral is "23S ribosomal RNA". It matches the Rfam family "Bacterial large subunit ribosomal RNA". Lineage: Bacteria; Pseudomonadati; Pseudomonadota; Gammaproteobacteria; Enterobacterales; Enterobacteriaceae. The record is from RNAcentral.